GGUCCCGUAGCUCAGCUGGUUAGAGCGUCGUACUAAUACUUCCCCAAGUGGGAAAUAUCAGUGAUGCGAAGGUCGCGAGUUCGAUCCUCUCCGGGACCA
The sequence is a transfer RNA, 99 nucleotides long. It matches the Rfam family "tRNA". From Rfam's summary of the family: Transfer RNA (tRNA) molecules are approximately 80 nucleotides in length. The record is from Rfam.